GGGGAAUAUUGGUCAAUGGGCGGAAGCCUGAACCAGCCAAGUAGCGUGCAGGAAGACGGCCCUAUGGGUUGUAAACUGCUUUUAUACGAGAAUAAUUUGAUGCACGUGUGCGUUAUUGCAUGUAUCGUAUGAAUAAGGACCGGCUAAUUCCGUGCCAGCAGCCGCGGUAAUACGGAAGGUCCAGGCGUUAUCCGGAUUUAUUGGGUUUAAAGGGUGCGUAGGCGGCCUGUUAAGUCAGCGGUGAAAUCUAGGAGCUUAACUCCUAAAUUGCCAUUGAUACUGGCGGGCUUGAGUGUAGAUGAGGUAGGCGGAAUGCGUGGUGUAGCGGUGGAAUGCAUAGAUAUCACGCAGAACUCCGAUUGCGAAGGCAGCUUACUAAGGUACAACUGACGCUGAAGCACGAAAGCGUGGGUAUCAAACAGGAUUAGAUACCCUGGUAGUCCACGCAGUAAACGAUGAUAACUGGGCGUAUGCGAUAUACAGUAUGCUCCUAAGCGAAAGCGUUAAGUUAUCCACCUGGGGAGUACGCCGGCAACGGUG
RNAcentral lists this ribosomal RNA (540 nucleotides) under uncultured bacterium. Its description in RNAcentral is "bacterial SSU rRNA". It matches the Rfam family "Bacterial small subunit ribosomal RNA", at positions 356 to 896 of the family's 1533-position model. The record is from RNAcentral.